Molecule: long non-coding RNA, 250 nt
Filed under: Mytilus galloprovincialis (Mediterranean mussel)
Lineage: Eukaryota; Metazoa; Mollusca; Bivalvia; Mytilida; Mytilidae
Source: RNAcentral
UUGUGUCAAAAUAUCAUUGAUUUCUAUUUACUUAAACUAAAGUUAUAGUGCGAAAACCAAGAAAAUGCUUAUUUCGGCCCUUUUUGGCCCCUAAUUCCUAAACUGUUGGAACCAAAACUUCCAAAAUCAAUCCCAACCUUCCUUUUAUGGUCAUAAACCUUGUGUUUAAAUUUCAUACAUUUCUAUUUACUUAAACUAAAGUUAUAGUGUGAAAACCAAAAGUAUUCGGACGACGCCGCCAAUGUGAUAC